UUGAACGCUGGCGGCAUGCUUUACACAUGCAAGUCGAACGGUAACAGGCCUUCGGGUGCUGACGAGUGGCGAACGGGUGAGUAAUGCAUCGGAACGUACCCAGAGGUGGGGGAUAACGCAGCGAAAGCUGUGCUAAUACCGCAUGUGAUCUGAGGAUGAAAGCGGGGGACCGAGCAGCAAUGUUUGGCCUCGCGCCUUUGGAGCGGCCGAUGUCAGAUUAGCUAGUUGGUGGGGUAAAGGCCUACCAAGGCGACGAUCCGUAGCUGGUCUGAGAGGACGACCAGCCACACUGGGACUGAGACACGGCCCAGACUCCUACGGGAGGCAGCAGUGGGGAAUUUUGGACAAUGGGCGCAAGCCUGAUCCAGCAAUGCCGCGUGCGGGAAGAAGGCCUUCGGGUUGUAAACCGCUUUUGGCAGGAACGAAACGGUGUCCGCUAAUACCGGGCGCUAAUGACGGUACCUGCAGAAUAAGCACCGGCUAACUACGUG
RNAcentral lists this ribosomal RNA (491 nucleotides) under uncultured bacterium. RNAcentral describes it as "partial 16S ribosomal RNA". It matches the Rfam family "Bacterial small subunit ribosomal RNA", at positions 29 to 507 of the family's 1533-position model. The record is from RNAcentral.